RNAcentral lists this ribosomal RNA (188 nucleotides) under Vibrio cholerae O1 biovar El Tor str. N16961. RNAcentral's name for it is "partial 16S ribosomal RNA". It matches the Rfam family "Bacterial small subunit ribosomal RNA", at positions 1 to 180 of the family's 1533-position model. The record is from RNAcentral. Lineage: Bacteria; Pseudomonadati; Pseudomonadota; Gammaproteobacteria; Vibrionales; Vibrionaceae.
UUAAUUGAAGAGUUUGAUCAUGGCUCAGAUUGAACGCUGGCGGCAGGCCUAACACAUGCAAGUCGAGCGGCAGCACAGAGGAACUUGUUCCUUGGGUGGCGAGCGGCGGACGGGUGAGUAAUGCCUGGGAAAUUGCCCGGUAGAGGGGGGAUAACCAUUGGAAACGAUGGCUAAUACCGCAUAACCUC